CAGUUUGUGAUCCAGCAUGCUUUCCCCGUGAUAAGUAGUGAUCAAAUCCACCGGCCUAGUGCUUAUCAAAAAUGUCUCAGUAGAAGUCAUAUAAUUUAUUGCUAUUGUCACAAAUGAUAUGACCUGAAAGUGUUUUUGCAAUAAACUGUAUAUCACCACAGUAUUUAACCAGUUUUUACAUCACAUUACAUUUUUACAUUACUAAAGAGAUAGUCAGACUAGCUAUGUAACUACACCAUUAUAUUUGAUUCUGUUUGUGCAAUAAAAUUAGUCAAGAAAAAUGUUAAUGUAACGCAUGUGAUUCUUAUGCCACACAGUAAAAGGAAAUAGGUCAGGUGUACUUUUCCCCCCAAGAAUUACGGUAACUCCUCAGUUUACUUUAGGAGGGGCCAUUUGAAAAGAAAUGAUUUAUUGUGCUUACAGACAAAGACAAGGAAACCUGAGGUAAAUAAUUAGUCAGAAACGUGCUGCUGAUGGGAAAAGAUGUGUUCUGGUUAAACUGCUGGCAAACCUUUUACAAACAAGUUUUAUGAUCUGAUGUGAUGGUGAGUGUGAUGUACAGGAAUCAGGAAGCUUCAGCAAGUGCCACGGGAUGCCGUUUUGCAGCGAGGCACUAGUCAGACUCUGCCCCAGAGAUCUCGGGUGGGAUCCGCUCUAUGGACUCUGUGGAGGAGCUUUGGGACCGUUGGGACUGAGAGGAGAGAUGCUGCGAUGCUUGAGGGCUGUCCACCCCAGCAGAGUGCAUCAGGGUAGCUGAUGUGGGUCCCUUCUCCCCCAAUAGACCCUGAGGCUCAGACAGAAGUAGUUCUUCUUCAUCAGAUGAACCAGCACUGGAGGACUCCUCAUCACUGUCCGCCAACACACUGAAGAUGGGCCUGCAGGAAUAAGCAGAUGGAUGACAAAAAUAAAAGUGUUCAUGGAAAAUUUAAACAUUUUUGGCUUUAAAAAAGUUACAUUUAUAGCAAACUUUAUAUCCAAAGUGACAUUGAUUUAUACCCAAAUUUAAACCUCCAUGGUCUUGUAUAAGAAACAAAUAUUGCAGUUACUGUUAAAGUGAAAGUGUCCUGGAAAGAUUCACAAACACAACUAGACGUUUUCUAUCUCUGUGAAAAGCUUCAGAUGCACCACAGGCAGCUAAUGUAAAGCUUUGCCCACACAGUAAUCCCUACCACUGUGGGUUUAUGACAGGCAGGUCUACGCUAAUCAAUGUAAUGUGAGGCUCUGCUCUGUGGAUCAGAGACUAGGGUAGAAAGAGAAACGUGUAGGUGUUUAUUUGUGUGUAUGUGUGUGUGUGUGUGUGUGUGUGUGCAAUAGAAAUGAUGAGGAUGAAAAUACAGGGUUUAUUUGGACGAUUUGGGUCAUCACUCCCGCCACCAGACCUGGGCAAUAUGAUGAAAUGCACCUGAAGUUGAGAGAAAUACCGACCGAUUUUUAUAGCUUUAUAAUGUCUGCCUUGGUUUUGGAGGGACUUUCUAAAGGCUGAGAAAAUAUCCCUGGAAGGUCUAAUUAAAGAUGCUAUUGAGUUGCAUUAUGGGGAUUGCAGGCCCCAGUGUUUUUUGAAGUUCAAUUUAGGACUAAAUGCCAGGAUAUGCUGUAUGCUGUAUGCUACUUCGAUUUUCACCAUUAAAAAAUAUCUAAGUACUAAGUCACACUCAUCACAGUAUAAAAUUACAUAUAUUGUGAAAGAAAACCAGCCAGUGACACUGGUAGUGACUGCUACUACUACUACAAAUAACAAUAUCACAUUUCUAUACACAAUAGGAGAUUUAGUAGAAUUGGGAAACAAUGAGUUAAGCCAAACAAUGCUACUUAUUAAACCGUUCAGAAAAGC
Molecule: long non-coding RNA, 1831 nt
Organism: Dicentrarchus labrax (European seabass)
Lineage: Eukaryota; Metazoa; Chordata; Actinopteri; Moronidae
Exons: 3
Source: RefSeq, a predicted model, not a curated record